UUUAAAUAGGAGGACCGAGCGUUUAUCUUCCAACAAUGUUGACUCUCGGCUACUGUAUGAUCUGCUUGAUGCUCGAUGGGUUUAGGUGGGGACUGGGGAGGACUAUUUAUGGAAGAGAAUCCAUUUUAAAAUGCAAUCCACACUUCUGGAAAAACGGUUUAUGUUUACCAAGAGCAUUUACAUUAAGAGUUUUAAAAAGUUAUAAUAAAUCCUACAAAAAAUACAAAAAUUUACUAAAAUAGCUACUAAAAAAUGUUGGAAUGCGAUUAGUUUUACAAAUUAUUCUUCUUAGCAUUUGCAUUGUAAAACAGUAUGAAUGAAAAUGUCCUAUGAUUAUAUAAAAGGCAUGUAUUCUAA
This is a long non-coding RNA of Dendroctonus ponderosae (mountain pine beetle), 357 nucleotides long. RefSeq lists it as uncharacterized. The record is from RefSeq and is a predicted model, not a curated record. The transcript is spliced from 2 exons. NCBI's taxonomy places the organism in Eukaryota, Metazoa, Arthropoda, Insecta, Coleoptera, Curculionidae.